AACGAACGCUGGCGGCAUGCCUAGCACAUGCAAGUCGAACGAGACCUUCGGGUCUAGUGGCGCACGGGUGCGUAACGCGUGGGAAGUCCGCCCUUGGGUUCGGAAUAACUCGCCGAAAGGCGUGCUAAUACCGGAUGAUGUCGUAAGACCAAAGACUUAUCGCCCAGGGAUGAGCCCGCGUAAGAUUAGGUAGUUGGUGAGGUAGAGGCUCACCAAGCCGACGAUCUUUAGCUGGUCUGAGAGGAUGAUCAGCCACACUGGGACUGAGACACGGCCCAG
Molecule: ribosomal RNA, 279 nt
Filed under: uncultured bacterium
Lineage: Bacteria
Description: partial 16S ribosomal RNA
Rfam family: Bacterial small subunit ribosomal RNA
Source: RNAcentral